RNAcentral lists this ribosomal RNA (267 nucleotides) under uncultured bacterium. RNAcentral describes it as "partial 16S ribosomal RNA". It matches the Rfam family "Bacterial small subunit ribosomal RNA", at positions 793 to 1055 of the family's 1533-position model. The record is from RNAcentral.
GUCCUGGCAGUAAACGGUGCACGUUUGGUGUGGGCGCAAUCGACCGCGUCCGCGCCGGAGCUAACGCGUUAAACGUGCCGCCUGGGAAGUACGGUCGCAAGAUUAAAACUCAAAGAAAUUGACGGGGACCCGCACAAGCGGUGGAGUAUGUGGCUUAAUUCGAUGCAACGCGAAGAACCUUACCUGGUCUUGACAUGCAUUGUGUCUCUGGUGAAAGCCUGAUAGGGUAGCAAUACCCGCUUUGCACAGGUGCUGCAUGGCUGUCGU